Molecule: long non-coding RNA, 2732 nt
Organism: Anolis carolinensis (green anole)
Lineage: Eukaryota; Metazoa; Chordata; Lepidosauria; Squamata; Anolidae
Source: Ensembl
AUGAACAUGACUGGGAGGCACACUUCAUGCUCUUACCAGCUCCUGAGAAUGGAAAUGUACUUCAAAAAGGAAGCCAUGAAGUCAGAUGUCCACUACUCAUCCUCAAUAGGCCUUGGAGAUCUGUGUGCAGCAUUGGAGGCAAUGUCUUGCUUAUUCCCUAAACUAGUCUGCUGCCCUCAAGAGGACACUGUGUUAUUACUUUUUGAAAUACUGUUCAACUGUCAGUAGAAUUAGGUUCUACACAUGGAAUUUGGAAGGUGGAUUUCCAUCUUGUUUUUUGCCUUAGCUAGACUUUGGCCACUCUUGUUUUGUUUUGUUUUUUGGUCCUACAUCUAUUGUUAAACACACAAAUACCCUAAAUGCCAAAUAUGUGCAAGUCAACCCUAAAUAUCUACAUAAAGAUUUUACAUAUAUAUAGAAACAUUAAACACAAUACAAGGAUUCGCCAUGGUUUUUAGUGCUUCGUAUUUUGAAAUAAACGUGCAUUUGCCACUAUGCAAUUCAUGGUACUCAUCUGAACCAAUAUGAAUAUUGACAAGGAAUUUAUCUGGAGAACUACAUAAUUCUCACGUUGAUCUACAGUAUCCAUGCUGCUUAAUUUAGAGAGAAAGAAUAACCUUCAGUACCCAUUACUGCUCAGACUACUGGCUGUUGAUGAUGCUGUUUCUAUGUAAUUGUCUUGUUGUAAUGUUGAUUUUAUUGAGACAGGUUUUAAUCUAUGUUUGGUUUUAAUCUUUGUUGGAUUGGGCUUGUCCCCAUGUAAGCUGCCCCAAAUCCCUUCGGGGAAAUGGAGGUGGGAUAUAAAAAUAAAGUUAUUAUUAUUAUAUUAUCAACCUCAAAAUGGAUAUAAUUCCUGUCAUCCCCUACCACUGGUUAUCCUGACUUAUUCCAGGAGGCAUUGAUGGGACAUCUGAAACACUACAAGCCCCUUAAACAUACAGUCUGAGUAACCUUCUGAUAAUGAUUAUGAAAAUGGAACCUGUGGGCUGUAUUUAUUCUAUACCACAGCUACUAUAACCCCCAGGUCAGUGAUACUUCUGCUUUAUAAAACACCACAUUCUCAGACACACACACACACACACAAACCUAGGGCUCAGAAGAUCAGAGUAUAAUAGCAAUAUGCUGAAACCCUUUUCAAUGAUUCAUAAUUUUCAUUAAUAGUAAUUAUGCUUUCACCACACUCAGAACUCUGGAGAAUGUGACAGACUUGGUUCCUAAGCUAUCUUUCUUGCUGUGGAGAUAUGUUUUACUUUCUCCUGGGGAAAGAACAGAUGGAAAAUAAAGAAAUCCCAGCAGGUGUUUGCGUACAGUCUGUCAUGUUAGCUCAAUGACAAUAAUUGGCAGGAUUGUGGGCGAGAGGGAAGGAGGAAACUCUAGCAGGGGGGAAAGGCAACAAUCUCUAAGAGAGCUUCAGAUUGUUUGAGACAGAUUUUACUUCUUGCAGUGCACAUGCAUCACUUUGGUUUCCCUCUGGUCAAAUAGUUUUUGCUUGUUUUAAAGGCAUCAACAAUGGAAGACCAAUUGAACCUGCUUGCCAGAGACAAAAGGGAGAGGACUGAAUUCAUCACAAGCAAUAACUCACUUGUCACUUUGUUCUCUCUGAGAAAAAAGGGACCGUCUUUCUCCAACCUAUGGUAAAUUUCAAAGGACACUAAAGAAUGCCAACCAUUUCCAGAAAUAAUUCAAGAGAAUUAUCAAGAUAACUAGCAAAUCGGGUAAAUUGGCUGCUGAAACUCUUAACUGGAAGGUGCCUUCCAUUAUACAUACAUGCAGAAAUGGAUUGAUCCUAGCAGGCCCGUAGCCAGGAUUUUGAUUCGGGGGGGGGGGGGGUGCUGAGUCUGGGUGGGAGAGGAUCUACCCUAGCAAACCUUUUGUAUCGUUAUCCCAAUAUCCCCAUGCAUAUGGGAUAUAUUGAGCAUGGUGCACUUUUUUUUGUUUGUUUUGUUUUUUGGUUUUUUGGGUUUUUGUUCCUGUCUUUGUUUCUUCCCUCCCCUUUUUCUCCUUUUUUCUUUUUUAAUUAUUUAUGUAUUAAAAUUUUUUCAAUAAAAAUGAUUUUAAAAAAUAUCCCCAUGCAUAUGGGAUAUAUUGAGGGUGGUGAUCGGAUCAUGAUAUGAAUAAACAUAACAGUUUAAAUAAUAAAUGUAAGGCCUUCUUGCGGACCACUCUGAGAAUUUCGGGGGGGGGGGGGCUUGAGGGGCUACAUGCCUGUCUGUUCUAGUCAUUUUAGAACAGUAAAUGAAAGGUCACAAGUUAGUAAUAGAUUACAUGUUUUGGAAAAAUAGAUAUUGGGUUUCAGCUCCUGACAUCUUCAUAUGAAGCUUGUUAGAUAAGAGAUGAUGGGAAUGAUCUCUCCUUGAAAUCCUGGCUCAUUUCAUGCAUAUUCAUGCAUGUACUCAUGCAUAUUUGGAUUUUAUGAAUGGAGAGUGGUGACAACCACAUCUUAAUGUCUGAAGAUAGCACAUUAAAUAGGAUGAAACUAUAUUUCUUUCUGAUAUUAUAUAAUGUCUUACCUUUCGGACAAACUGUGGAAAAUUGCUGCUGUUCCUGGCAGGAAGACCCAAUAAUGGGCGAGUGAAGGUAUCCAGAGAUGAGGCAUGACCAACAAGUAGGAUGAUGCCUAUUGUCAGAGACAUAGUAUCUUAGAACAGCACAUAAAAAGUUCUUUAGCACCAGUUGCAAUUGAUCUUACCAAUCAAAAAGUGGCAGUUUGAAGUCUGUGGUCGGGGUGGAGC